This 23066-nucleotide long non-coding RNA is filed under the name Cicer arietinum (chickpea). RNAcentral describes it as "long non-coding RNA (CARI_LNC000581)". Lineage: Eukaryota; Viridiplantae; Streptophyta; Magnoliopsida; Fabales; Fabaceae. The record is from RNAcentral.
CACUCCAAAUUUUUCAGUCAAGUUCCGCCAUUGACAAUAGAUCAUACUUUAUUUAAUAUAGUAAGUGGGAAACAAAAUAAUUCAUAGAUGCAUGUUUCUAGUUUUCAUGGAGAUUCCAUGUUUCAAUGUCCUCUUUUCCUAGGUUUAUUACCAUUUUCUCCUUCACCUUUGUCUCCGUUAUCGUGGUUUCCUCCAUUGUCGUCUUCUUCAACGGGUGGCUCACUAUCGUGGUAUCCCAUGCCACCAAAGUUGUAUAUCAUGCUCUGUACCCAUUCUGAUGCCCAACCCAAUGCCAAAUCUCUCAAAGUUCUCCAAUCUACAAACCUUCUUAUUAAAGUACUAUAUUCGGAUUGCUCAGCUGCCACAAUAGUCAUAAGAAGGGGAACACAUAGAAAGAAUACUAAGAUAAAAAAUUUUGUUUUCAUCCCUUGCUUAAAUUUCUUAAAGUUUCUUGUAAAAUAUGAAUAAUAUCCUCAAAUAUUUAUAGUGAUCACGCAUAGAAAAAAUAAGAUAAUUUUAAAAGACAAAAACAUAUUGAAGAAAAUUAUAUUGCGUACUAAAAAAAAAGACAAUAUGUAUUCUAUGGCCAAUUGCGAAGACAAUGGGUCAUCAAGAUCCAUAGAGCCAUGGAAAAGUUAAAUAAAUUAGAACAUGUUUGCCUUUUGGAUCAUGAUAAUUUGACGAUCAAAGAGACGUUUUAUCCAAUUAAUCUUUUCUAAAAAGUUGCUUUUGGUAAAAUUGUUUCAGAAAAUAGAAUUUAAAACUAGGGAGUUGUAAAAUUUGACUUCCUAAUAAAUUUAGGAUUAAAGUGAUGUAAUGUCCAAUUAAUUCUAAAUGAAUGAUUUAUUUUGACUAUUAAAUGUUUUAAUAUUGGAAUAUUAAAUUUUUAGUAUCUAAAAAAUUUUGAAAUUUUAAUUUUAGUACUUAUUAAAAAAAAUUAUAUUUUUUAGUUUCUACAAAAUUGUUAUGUAAACAGUUUAAUUUAUACCAUAUUGGAACAUCAAUAUAAAUAUUUAAAUACUUUUUUUUUUGCAUACAUGCUGACAUUAUAAAAAGUUCAACAUAAAAAAUGAUAUCAAAAUUCAAUUUCUAGAUCUAUAUUUUAAAGACUUUUAUCUUAAAUAGACGACGUUUAAUUAAUUCAUCCCAAAUUAAAAAAAAAUUAUAUGAAUUAAUUUUUAAUAAUAUUCUAAACAUGCUUACAAUAUUAUUCAAAUAUUUAAAAGUUGAAGAAUAUUUUAUUUCAUCAGAGACUAAAAUAAUUUGAUUAAUAAUUUUAUAGGAAUUAAAAAAAAUGUAUGCAUACAUAAAAAAAUAAAAAAUUAUCAUCUUGGUUCUAAGAACACAACUAAAACAAAUCAAACGAUAACUUCUCGUUUUGAUUAUGAGUUAUAUUUGGUAUUUGUAAUAUUUUAUUUUAUUUUUACAUCUUACCUUAUUAUGAGUUGAUAUAAUUAUUCUGUAAAUUAUUGGUGAUAAUUAUUAUUGUAAUGUGUUAUUUUAAUUUUUAAUAAUAAUAAUAAUAAUAAUAAUAAUAAUAAUAAAAAAGGGAAUCGUUAAAAACAAAUUUCAGACGCUGGAAAUACACGUUUCCCAUUUAAUAUCACGUUUUCUAUUUAAUACCAUCCCUUUAAUACACGUCCCCAUAUAAUAACACACGUUACCCACUUCUAAUGAUAAAAAAGGAAUAAAACAAAACAUAAAAAGAAAUAAAACAAAAACGGGUUUCAGGGAGAAAAAGAAAGAAAUUCAAGAACUAAAUGAGUUACUGAUUCAUCCCUCAAGUAUAACACAUUUGAAGCAAAGACCACUGCGUGAAAAUUUUAAUUACGACACUCAUAUUGAUAAGGGGCAUGACUCCAUCCGCUUUUCUAAUUGAAUUAUUGUUUGUGUGUUAUAUUCGAAAUGAAUAUUAAUAAUUGUUGUGUUUGACAUGUUCAAAAUGUGGAAAAUAAAUGUUAUGUGAUAUGUUGUUAUAAUGGUUGUGUUGAGCAUAUUCAUAGUGUGAAGAAUAAAUGUUAUGUGAUAUGUUGUUAUAAUGGUUGUGUUGAACAUAUUUAAAGUGUGGAAAAUAAAUGUUAUGUGAUAUGGUGUUAUAAUGUUGUGUUAAACAUAUUCAAAGUGUGAAGAAUAAAUGUUAUGUGAUGUGUCGUUGAUAAGUUAGUAUCGCAUUAUAUUUUAUUAGAGUGUACACGAAGCCCUUGCGGGGGAAGCGAUAUUUCGGAAUCAUUAUAUAGAUUAAGUAAUAAGGUUUGUUGGAUAUGCAUUAAUUAAACUGUAGUGUGACUAGUGUUUUGUAAAGAUAACUGAUACAUUGUAUCUCCUGGUUUUUGUGAAUUAAAGUUAUAAAAAAUGUGAUAUUGUAUCUCCUGGUUUUGAGUGAAUUAACGUUAUUAAAUAUGUGAUAGUGUACUUCUAUAUCUUAUUAUUAAUUAGGUAGAUAUGGUAAUGUUAUAUUUGUAUUGUCAAUGUGGUUAGUCGUUUGAGUGAAUUAAUGUUAUUAAUUAUGCAAACAUUGUACUGUUAUCUUUUCAUUGUUAUUAUAUCUUUAAUGCGUUGUGAUUUUUAAUUGUUAAAUGGAGUACAUGAUUUACUUAUAUUUUUGCUAUAACAACUAUAUAUGCAUGCAUAUUUGCUAUGUGUUUGUUAUUUUGAGAUGACCCUUAUAUUUGACAGGACGUUACAUAUAGUGCUAUGUGUUUGUUAUAUUUUCAUUGUUAUUAUACCUAUUGGUGCGUUUUGAUUUUUAACUGUUAAAUGAAGUACAUGAUUUAUUUAUAUUUUUGCUAUGAUAUCUCUAUAUGCAUGCAUAUUUGCUAUGUGUUUGUUAUUUGGAGUUGACCCUUACAUUUGACAGACUUGUUGGGUUAGCUUACCAAAAGUCCGAAGUUUAUGACCAACUGAAUUUAUGCUUGGGUAGUAAAAUAUCAACAGUUUUGGCUAUAGGAGUCUCUUUUGUUUAAUAUAUUAAAUUUAAAUUGUAAAUAUUUUGAUUCUUUAUUUUUGAAAAUAUAACUAAAAAUAUUAUUAAAUGAUUUUAAGAUAAAUGAGUAUUUAAAAUAAUUACAAAUGAAUAAAAGCAAAUUUGUAUUUUUACGUAUAGAAUUUUGUUAGUUAAUGUCCCGAAAAAGCAGGAUGUUAGUCUUGGUUAGCAUCCUUCUAAUCUGCUGUUGGGGAAUUCCUUGUGCCUUCAUUUUAUUGAAUGGAUUUUUCUUUGUCCGAAGAAGAACAAACCAUUGUUGAGUGUUUGCCGUUAUAACCAAUUAUUAAAAUAGAGUAAUAUUAAUGGAAAUGCACAAUUGCUCCUGCGAUCCCUUAACUUAAUUUUAGAUAACACUUUAAUUUUUUUUAAUUGGUCUUUUAUUUAAUAUUAUUACAAAAAUUCGAAAAUAUAAAGAAUGAAAAUAUGAGUUUAUUUAAAGAUUUAAGAUAUUUCAUCGACGUUGUUUCCAUAAAUUAUGAUCUCAUCAACAUAUAUCACUAAGGCAGUAAAGGACGAGCAAAUGGAUUUAAUGAAUAAAGAAUGAUAUGAAUUAGAUUGAGUAUACUCUUUUGAAAUGAGAGUGGAGGAAAGUCUAGCAAACCAUUGCUUACUAGACUAUUUUAAACCAUAAAGAGGUUUUUGAAGUUUACAAACAAUAUUUGGAUUAUGAGCCAAUAACCCAAGUAACAAUUGCAUAUAGACUUCCUCUUCUAAAUUGCCAUGUAAAAAAGCAUUGUAAACGUCUAACUUAUGAAAAUGUCAAUUAUGAGAUGAUACAAGAGCAAGUAAGAGUCUUACGAUAAUGAGCUUAGCUAAAGUGAAUAAGUAUCAAAAUAAUCAAUUCCUUCAAUUUGGUUAAAACAUUUGGCAACAAGGCGUGCCUUAUAAUGUAUUAUAGAACCAUCAGCGUUAUAUUUUACCUUAUAAACCCAUCGACAACCUAAGGGCUUUUUAACACGUGGCAACUUAGUAAGAGUCCAAGUGUUGACUGAUAGAUUGCAUGGUCUGAACCUAAUUAUUAUAUGUGACAACUUGUUUAAAGCUAGUAGGGUCACGAACAACAGAAAUAAAGGAAAUAAAAUGAUAGAAAAAUUAUGACAAUUUUGACUAAGAUAAGACCUGGUAUAAACGAACAACAGAAAUAAAGGAAAUAAAAUGAUAGAAAAAAUAUGACAAUUUUGACUAAGAUAAGACCUGGUAUAAAUGAUACAAUAUAUUGGACUUAUGGCACCUAUCAUGUGCAAAAUUUCACUCAAAAUCUUGUAAGUAAGCAGGGACCUUGUUAGACCUUGAAGACCUACGAAUAGUAUCUUGAUGCUCAUCAAAAUCAAAGAUAGGGGAAGUAUGUAAAUUGUUGGGACUAGUAUCAAGACUAGAUGAAGGAGUUGGAGCAAAUAUAAUACUAUCAUCAGUGGAGUUAUUAACAUAAACAAUUAUUAGGCAAAAGCAUAUUAGUAUCAUCAAACAGAAUAAAGGAAUCGUGAGAAUCAUCAUUAAUAUGCAAGGAAGUAGAAUUAAGAUUAACAUAUGGAAAAACAUAUUCAUAAAAAUCUACAUUCCUAGAAACAAAGGUGACAUGGGUAUGUAAAUCAAACAUCAAAUAACUUUUAGUUCCUUAUCUAAAUCCAAGGAAAAUACACUUGGUGGCCCUUGGAUAAAGUUUAGUGCUAUAAUCACUACGCGAAAAAACGCAUUUUACAGCGCUUUUUUUAAGCCAUUUACAGCGCUUUUUCAAAAAAAUAAGCGCUGUGGAAACGAGCGCUGUAAAUGAUACAACAACGCUUUUAAAAAAGCGCUAUAAAACAUGUAAAUACAACGCGCGCUUGUUAUGCACAUUUUACAGUGCUUCUUCACAAAAAGCGCUGUAAUAUGCACCCCAUUAUAUGAGUUAUGGGUGUUCAUUUUACAGCAAAGCGCUCUAAAAUGCACACCCAUAACUCAUAUAAUGGGGGGCAUAUUACAGCGCUUUCUCAAACAAGCGUUGUAAUAUGCCCAACCAUAAUUUCAUAUAUGGGUGGGCAUAUUACAGCGCUUUUUUGAGAAAGCGCUGUAAAAUGCCCACCCAUAAUUUCAUAUAUGGGUGUGCAUAUUACAGCGCUUUCUCAAAAAAGCGCUGUAAAAUGCCCACCCAUAAUUUCAUAUUAUGGGUCUGCAUUUUACAGCGCUUUUCUUGUACAUUUUACAGCGCUUUCUCACGAAAGCGCUGUAAAAGGUGCACCAUUAAAGCGCUUUAGAACAACAUUUUACAGUGCUUUGUAAAAAAAGCGCUGUAAAAUGUGUGUUUUUUUUUUUUAAACGUUGUAAAUUAAUUAUUUGAAACGAAAAACGCUUUUUAGCUUUUUAUGGCAUUUUUUUUAAAAAGCGCUGUCUUUUAUCUUUGUAUCCAAAAUUAUUUUGAUCCAAAAUCACUUCACAAUCAGUGCACACAACAACAAAACAUAUUCAAAUACCAUAAGCAGUUCACACAAUCAGUAGAACAGAAAUCAGAACUCUGUAACUUUAUUAAUAUAUAUGUAACUCUGUAACUCUGUAAUUUACAACCUAAUUAACUACAUUCAGAUACGUAUAUAUAUAUAACCUAAUUUACAACCUAAACUACAUUCAGAUCCAUAUGCAUGUUCAUAUAUUGUGUCCUAUGAUCAUUUACAUAUAAUAACUAACAGAAUAUACAUUAUAUGCACUAGCUACCAUAUAAUAUUCAGAUCCCUUGCCCAGCAGCAAGCUAUUUCCCAGAAAAUCAAAUAAUUUUCAUGUCAAGCACGUACUGACACCAUUCUUCCUUUAAUUCCAUCAGAUCUUCCUCAGAAUAUGAUGGACUGGAAUUGGCAAAGUACUGCAAUAUAAAAAUUGAACAUAUUAUAUUAAGUUAGUAUCAAAUAUAUAGAUAAUUUAUAUAUGAAAAUCAUAUAAUGCAAAUACCGUACCGUUUCUGGGAUAAUAGUUUUAUUCUUCUCAACAAUCUCCUUCAUGAAUCUCAAUACGUAGUACCCACAGUCGAUGUUAUUUGUUUGACGAGGGCACUUUAUUGAGAUCCAUGUAAUGUUAUUAGACUUCUGCUUCGACACUUUAGCACCUCUUUGAGCUCGAUAAACUUUUAAGGCACUAUCGAAUGAAUAAAUGUGAUUAUUAGAGCAUGAAUAUUUAAAUAUAUAUAUAUGUAAGAAAUAAAUGAAUAUUACUUACGUGUCGAGCAUAUUCUUUAUUCCGGGGUGAUUGGUGUAAUCGCCGUGCACGGGAUCCAAAUAGUAUAUCACUUCAGAGACCGCAUUGAUUGCAAAUAGCACCCAAUGUGCCCUACAACAACAAAAAAUUGGUUAAGCAAUUUUGUUUAUAGACAACUAAUAAAUUAAAUUCUCAUCAAUUAAAAAAGAUAAAAUUACGUACCCUGAAUUAUAUGGUGCCAAGAACAAUUUAUCACUUUCUUUAUUUCUUAAAAACAUAUCUACAAUGUAGUGUUUUACAUUGUCUGGAUCGAGUUUGAACAUCGACAUCUUAUGCGGAGACAAGAAUGAGUAUUUAUUUGACAGUUUCCUCGUGCACACGACCUUCUCGUACAAAAACCUUCAAUGAAAAUUUUAAACUAGAUUAAUUACCAAUACAUUUAAUUAAUUACAAAUAAAUGCAAUUAAAAGUAUUUUUUACCUUAUGUACAAGCUGAUUACAGUAACACUCAGCUCCUUAUGUUCGAGAAGAUCGUACAUUUGCUCCUUUUCGAGGUAUUCAAUAUACUCAUCUCCAAAGAUGUCUUGAUUCAUUUGUACAAUGGGCGAAUCGUUGCUGCUGCCCAUGUUCCUUUUUAUUUGGAUGUCAAGACACGCCCCGUAUUUACCAAGGCGUGGCUGACUUUUAUUAGGAGCAGCAGCAGCAGCGACCGAUUUUCCCCGAUCCAGAUUUUUUGUUGCUGCAAGUUUUGCAGCUUUAUUACCCUCCAGCCUUUGUAGUUUGGCAGCCCUAUUAACCUCCAAUUUUUGAGGUCUGCUGCCUUUUUUUGGCUGUAGGGGUGGUUUAUUUAUUUGGACCUACAAAAAUGAGGUAAAAUGUUAGUUUAUUGAAUCUGAAAAAAUAAAAAACCUUAGGCAAUAAAUGUGACAAACCUUUUCGGGAGAUGUAACUGAUUUGUCCUUGGGAAUCUUUUUUUCGAGGGCAACAAGGUGUGUGGGCCAUGCCACGUAACUGCCAAUAGCGUCGCUUAAGAACUUCAUAUCUCCAUCGUUGUCCGGUAUGGGCAACGGUGCAGUUGGUUCGAAAGCAACCGUAGGCGAUACUUUGACAUGGCCCGCGGGGAUCGGAAUAUUGUGCAAUACUUCUCCCGAAGUAUUGUGCAAUAUUCCUUUUCCCACCUUCCGUUGAGUCGGCGAGGACAAGUAUAGGACACAUGUAGUGACACCCUACAUCAAUAGUUAAAACAUAAGUACAGUUAAUAUAUAAGUUUGUUUAAUACAUAAGUAAUUACAUAAGCAAGUAAGUAGUAAGUAAUUAAUUACCUCGGGAAUACUCUUCAAACCGACGUUGCAACUCCCGGUUUCACUCUCCAUUUGUAUUUCAGGUUGGAGCUGAACCGGAAGUUGCUUGUCUUUAUUCGUAUUCACCAAGAGUGCCACUUGCUCCGAUAAGAUUCUGAGCUUCUCUAAUACUUCCUCGUUGGAAGGUUUUUGGCGCUUCUCUUGAGGAAAAAAGCUUUUGGGAGUUACGCCAAAUCCUUUCCCCCUCACUCGACCGGAAUACUCAGGGACAUUAAACACUUUCCCAAGAAUGUCCCUGCACGUAUCCUUGUUGCCCUCUUGAGUUUCAGAACUUUGUUCAAUAGUUUCCUAAAAUACAUGUAACAUUAAAAAGAUAAGUUCAAUAGCAUUUUUAAAAUACAAUAUUAAAAAAUAUUAAAGUGAUAAUAUACUUACACAAAGUUCUACAACUUUCUUGACAUUUUCAUUAUCAACCACUCCUUCUUUGUUAACACGCGCUUCCUUCCAUAAGAUAUGACGACCCAAGGGUUGAUCGGCUUGGGUGUCUUUUCUCUAUUCGUUAAAAUCAUAAACAAAAUAAUACAAAUUAGUUACACACUAUAGUUUAUAAUACAAAUUACAAGUGAUGUUUAAUUACUUACAAUUUUUUGUUCAAGGCGUGCAUAUCCCAUACGUGAUUUCUUGUAUGGGUGUUUUGGGUUGCUUGCCCGUUCGCGAUUUGCCGUACUAAUAUUCUAUAUAAAAAAAAAAUUGCAAUUGUGUAAAAAUUUAAAAUACGCUACGAAUAUGAAUAAUAAAACACAAAUGCUAAUAAAUUAAUAACUUACGACAAACGCCGGGUCAGAACGUUUGGAAACAAAUGCACUCCAUUCAUCCUUUGAUAUAUAAUGUUGAUAUAUCUUUGGAGGUUCAGCAUUUGUGUUUCCUUCUCUAUCUUUUAGAUAGAAAUUUGAGAGAUGGGAUCUAAAUCCACGAUGGAUUUUCCCAGCAACUCUCAAAACAUAUGACUUUCGUUCCUCAUCAAGAACAAAAGUGGUCUGCAAUGAAAACAAUUAUAAGUAAUGUAUUUUACAGAAAAAAAAUUAUAAAUGACAAAAGAGUAGAUCAAAAUAUUUACUUGAAUGUCAUUCCAGAUGAUAUCUUUGGCAUCCUUCAACGCCUUAUCUCUCCAGUUGUCUAUUGUUAUUGGGACAUUUUGACGAACAACAGCCCCAAUGUAGCUUACAAACAUGGAGCUGUUGGGGUCAACUGGCUGACCACUCUCGUUCCAGCCAACCUAAUAAACUCAUAUAGUAAGUACAUGCCCUAAACCCUAAAAAAAGAUAAAAAAACACACAGCAAACAGAGUAUAUAUAGUAUACCUCAAAUUUAAUGCCACUGCUCCGUGCUUUAAUCACCCUUUGCAUGAUAGUUGCACCACGUUUGACUUCUUUUUCGUAAGUCUUAGAGGUGCCAACUUCUUCAUUUUGAACUUCUAAAUCUUUGUUUGUAUCCAUUUAACUACAACAAGUUCAACAUGCACUUUAGUAUAACAUCAACAAGCUCAACAUGGAUCAUGCAUUAUUAUAAACAAACUCAACAUGUAUCAGUAUAUCUUAAAAAAGCUCAACAUGCAUUUUAAUGAUUACAAAAAAUUUAUAACAUCAAUACCUGAAUAAUGGUUCGAAGAAAGAUGAAAUCUAAAGAAAAGAGGGAACGCAGAAAGUUCACAGAAAUAUGGUUCAAAGAAAUAGGAUAUUGAAGAAAUACGUAAUGAGGGUUACGUAUUUCAAUGAAAAUAUAUUGUGUGAAAUGGGAGAGAUGAUCUUGGAUGGAAAUAAGGUUCGAAAUGAAGGAGAUGAUCGUGGAAAUAAGGUUCGUAAAGGACGGGAUGAUAGGGUUUGCAAAAGAAGAGAAGAAAUGAAGGUUGAGAUGACAAUACCUGAAUAAUGAUGGUUCGAAGAAAGACGAAAUGCAAAGAAAAGAGGGUUUGCAGAAAGUUCACAGAAAUAUGGUUCAAAGAAAAGAGGGAACGGUAUUGAAGAAAUACGUAAUGAGGGUUACGUAUUUCAAUGAAAAUAUAUUGUGUGAAAUGGGAGAGAUGAUCUUGGAUGGAAAUAAGGUUCGAAACGAAGGAGAUGAUCGUGGAAAUAAGGUUCGUAAUGGACGGGAUGAUAGGGUUUGCAAAAGAAGAGAAGAAAUGAAGGUUGAGAUGAUAGUGAAAGACCUCCUUGUGUUAUUAUGUUAUUUGAAUACCUUUUACAGCGCUUUUACACAUAAGCGCUCUAAAAUGUCUCUUUAUCUUAAUUUUAAGAGGCUCUUUUACAGCGCUUUUCCCAAAUAAGCGCUGUAAAAGAACUCCGUGUGUUAUUAUGUUAUAUGAAUGUUUUUUAAAGCCUUUUACAGCGCUUUUCCACAUAAGCGCUCUAAAAUGUCUCUUUAUGUUAAUUUUAAAAGGCUCUUUUACAGCGCUUUUUCCAAAUAAGCGCUGUAAAAGGCCUUAUUGUUUUUGUGUUUUGUUAUGUUAUGUUAUUUUUUAAACAAGCUCAACAUGCAUGCAAAACCCACAUAGUAGUAACUGGUCACCACAAAAAUCCCUUCCUCUUCACCAAACUCUUCUCCUUUUAUGCAUCUUCUUCACAAACAUCAAAGCUUACUCUUUCACAAUUCAAUCUCCACCUCAACACCCUUUUUAUCUCUUUACAUUCUCUUUCCUUCUUAAAUCGAAACUUAAUUGGUAUUCAGGAUCAUUGCCAUGUUGCGAAAAAUGGGUUUGUGUCUGGUGUUUUUGGGGAUUCCCAUGAUGCGUACAAGGUGUUUGAAGAAAUGGGUUUGUGUCUGAUGUUUUUUGGAUUCCCAUGAUGCGUACAAGGUGUUUGAAGAAAUGGGUUUGUGUCUGAUGUUUUUUGAAUCCCAUGAUGCGUACAAGGUGUUUGAAGAAAUUAGGUGUCUGAUGAAUAUUAUUUUUAAAGCCAUUUUACAGCGCUUUGGCAAACAAGCGCUGUAAAAUGUCUUUUUUACUCACUUUCAAAAGAGUCGUUUACAGCGCUUUGUGUGAAAAGCGCUGUAAAAGGUAUAAAACACUCAUUAUUUUAUUUUUAAAAGGAUCUUUUACAGCGCUUUUUAAGAUAAGCGCUGUAAAAUGUCUCUUUAUUUUAUUUUUGUGUUUGGUUUAUUUGGGUUGGGAUGACAUUAAAAACAUUUUUAUCAUUGUUUAUUGGAUUAAAAAUAUUGUUAUCAUUGUCUUUAUCACAAUACUUUAGGAGAUGAUGAAUUAUUAGAAAUGAGUAUUCUGAAGAAUCUAUAUAUAUAUAUGCACUGAGCAAAAGAGAAUCUCUCUAUUCAGUUCAGUUCAGUUCAUGUAAAUUACUAAUUUAUAUUCAGUUCAGUUCAUGUAAAUCAAGCUAAAUAUAAAACACUCAUUGUUACAUGAACUUGGUAUAAAACACUCAAAUCAAGCUAAAUAUAAGCAGAAAAUAAAUUAAUCAGAAAAUAAAUUAAUCAGAACUUAGUAUAAAACACUCAAUUCAGAUUACAUGCAUAUUUACAAUAACACAGUUCAGAUUACAUGCAUAGCUUAUAUAAAACAAUUAAACAUAUAUAUACAUUAAGAUGCCCUUCUUCUUUUCCUGGUGACAUUCACAUUUGUUUGUCCAUUUACAAUACGAAACGAUGGAUUAAUCCAAAUUCCCUCAUCAUGAUCAUCUCUAAGAUAUAAACCAUCAUCAGUUGAAUCAAUUUCAUGUGGUUGUUGUGAUGUUGCAAAUAAAAGAUCAUUACCAACAUCUUCAUCAUUAUUGUUAUCAUCACUUAUUUUAUUGGUCGAUAGGACAACAGACCAUUUAUCAUUAGAAGGAUCAGUGACAUAAAACACUUGUUGAGCUUGCGACGCUAAAAUAAAAGGCUCGUCUUUGUAUCCCACCCUAUUAAAAUCGACAAGCAAGAAUCCUGACUCAUCAAUCCGAACGCCAUUAUUAUUAUCGACCCACUUGCAACCAAAUAUGGGAACACGAAACAUUGUGUAGUCUAACUCCCAUAUGCGCUCGAUAACCCCAAAAUAUGAUAGAUUUGCAUAUAUUGGGUUUUUGUCUUUUGCACUUGAGACAUGCAUCGCUUCAGCUACGAGAGUGACUCCACUAUUUUGCAUAGUGGUCUGAUCAUCUUGUUCUUUGGUAUAAAAUGUGUAGCCGUUAAUAACAUAACCAGUGUAAGAAAAGACAUGUAAGCUCGGACCAUUUGCUAGCCACCUCAAUCUAUUUGAAAUUGAUCCGGGGUCUAUAUCAAAUUUUGACAUUAUGUGAUUUUUUAACCAUGUUACAAAACUUCGAUUGUGCUCUCGAGUUAUCCAAUUUUGAUUCCUAUUCAUGUUCAAACGAGAUAACUGAUCAAUGUGUAUUGUAACAUACGGUUGAACCUCAUCAUCAUUGUGCAGAACAUACAAUUGUGCCUGCUCCCAUUCUGUCCUUGAUAUAGUCAGUAGUCUCCUUCCAGUUAUCCCUUCUCCUGAUAGUCUUCCCGAAUGACGAGACAUGGGAAGCCCUAUGGAUUCAACAUUGGACAGAUAUUCAGUACAAAAUUCAGCAGCCUCUUCAACAAUGUAUCGUUCAGCAAUACAACCUUCUGGUCGACUUCUACUUUUUACGUACCCUUUUAAUAUUUUCAUAUAUCGUUCUAUCGGAUACAUCCAUCUCAUAUAAGCUGGCCCACAAAGUUGUGUCUCCUUAACCAGAUGAACAGUAAGGUGAACCAUUAUAUCAAAAAACGAUGGUGGGAAAUACAUUUCAAGCUCACACAAAGUAACAACAAUUUCCCUCUGCAAUGUCGGUAAUUUCUGAGGGUCGAUCACUUUACUACAAAUUUCCCUGAAGAAGAAACAUAAUCUAGUUAAGGCUAGUCGAACUUUUUCAGGUAAAAUGGAACGUAUACCUAUUGGUAGCAAAUGCUCCAUUAUAAUAUGACAAUCAUGGGUCUUCAAACCUUUUAACUUGAGGUCUUUCAUACAAACCAAAUUUUUAAUGUUCGAAGAGUAUCCUUCUGGAACUUUAACUUCGUGUAGAAAUUUACAUAAAACAAUUUUUUCCUUUCUAGAUAGAGUAUGAGCGGCUGGAGGUAGAUAUGUGCGAUUUCCUUUCUUUACUGGAGCCAGUUCAUUUCUUAUUCCCAUAUCGACCAAGUCCAAUCUUGCAUUGACGCCAUCUUUAGACUUUCCUGGAACAUUGAGUAACGUACCAAUAACACUUUCAAAUACAUUUUUUUCAAUAUGCAUCACAUCGAGGAAAUGUCUUACAUACAAUGACUUCCAAUAUGGCAAUUCAAAGAAAAUUGACUUUUUCUUCCACCCAGUUUUCACCAGCUCUCCCGCAAAAGGUUUGCCAAAUUUAUUGGUCAAACCUUGUACUUUUUCAAGUAUUUGAUAUCCAGUCGGUGCUAAAGGAGCUUUACCUUCCUCUGAUUUUCCAUUGAAUGCAUUUCUCCACCCACGAUACUGAUGACUAUAAGGUAAAAAUCUACGAUGUCCAAGAAACACAUUCUUCUUACAAUGUUUCAACCGCAUCCAAUUUGUACUCUCUUCACAUAUAGGACAUGCACACUGACCUUUAAUGCUAUAUCCUGAUAAAUUACCAUAUGCUGGAAAAUCAUUAAUUAUGCCGAACAACAUAACCCUUAAAUUGAAACAUUCUUUCUUAUACCCAUCAUAAACUUCCACACCUGUCUCCCACAUACUUUUUAAAUUUUCGAUUAGAGGAGUCAAGUAUACGUCGAUAUCAUUCCCCGGUUGUUUGGGUCCAGAAAUUAACAGAGACAACAUCAUAAACUUACGCUUCAUACAUAACCAUGGAGGUAGGUUAUAUAUUACCAAAAUCACAGGCCACGUGCUAUGUGAGAUGCUUUGAAGACCAUGUGGAUUCAUUCCAUCAGUAGAAAGUGCAAGUCUUAGAUUUCUUGACUCUAUCCCGAAUUCAGGAUACUCGUGAUCAAUUUUUGCCCAUUGUGGGGAAUCUGCAGGGUGUCGAAACAUUCCAUCUCUAAUUCUUUCAUCUGCAUGCCAUGUCAAGUGUUUUGAAUCUUCUUCACUGCGAUACAUGCGCCUAAAUCUUGGUAUUAUAGGAAAAUACCACACGACUUUUGCUGGAGUAGAUUCUUUCUUCUUAUAUCGAGAGACAUUGCAUUUCGGACACGCCUUAAGUAGUUCAUAUUCGUUUCGAAAUAAAAUGCAAUCGUUAGGACACGCAUGAAUCCUUUCGUAACUCAUUCCAAUAGAACACAAAAUCCGUUUAGCCUCGUAGGUCCGACUGGGAAGUUCAUUAUCAUCUGGCAACAUAUCUUUUAUGAGUGUUAAUAAUUCCGUAAAGCUUUUAUCAGACCAUCCAUUACUCGCUUUUAAGUUGUACAACUUUAAUAUCGCUGACAGUCUUGUGAAUUUAGUACAACCAUUAUAUAAUUCUUUCUCUGCAUCACUCAACAAACUUUCAAACAUUUUAGGACAAUCUCGAAGAUCUUCUUCAACUGCUUUUGCAAUCUCAUCAACUCGGUCCGGCUCAUAUGUAUCUGUAUCGAAAUCAGUUGAAGCAUAUGUAGAACUAUUCUCAAAAUUAAUGUUUCCUUUUUUUUUCUCACCAUGUCUUAUCCAACAUGUGUAGCUUUGAUCAAUUCCAUUACAUACUAGAUGUCCUUCUAAUUCAUCUUCUCUAACACGUUUUCCAAAACAACAUUUUAAACAAGGACAAACUACUCUAUUUGGAUCUUUUGCAUUCUUCACUGCAAACUCAACAAACUCCUUCACUCCAAUUUCAUACUCUUUUGACAAUCGAUUGGCUGAAAUCCAUUUCCUAUCCAUAUUAUACCACCUAUAUAAAUGCAGUAACAAAAAUAAUAAGCUUUCAAAACAUAUCAACAAGUUUCAAAAAGAAACCAAUAUCAACUAACAAUUUCAAAACAGAACAGAUCAUGUGGUAUGAGUUUUUGACAAUUUUUGACAAUUUCAAAACAUAACAGAUCAUGUGUAAAAAAUACCUUAGACAACGUAGAUGGCCGCACAGUACGUAGAGGAUAUUAGGGUUCGCAACGUAUAUAAUUAUUUGAAAGAUGUAGAGGAUAUGAGGGUUUCCAACGUAUAUAAUUAUUUUAAAGAUGUAUUUUACAGCGCUUGUGAAAAACGCGCUGUAAUAGGUAGUUAAAUUCAAUGAAAGCGCAUGUGUUUUACAGCGCUUGUGAAAAACGCGCUGUAAUAGGUAGUUAAAUUCAAUGAAAGCGCAUGUGUUUUACAGCGCUUGUGAAAAACGCGCUGUAAUAGGUAGUUAAAUUCAAUGAAAGCGCAUGUGUUUUACAGCGCUUGUGAAAAAAGCGUUGUAAUAGGUAGUUAAAUUCAAUGUAAGCGCAUGUGUUUUACAGCGCUUGUGAAAAAAGCGUUGUAAUAGGUAGUUAAAUUCAAUGUAAGCGCAUGUGUUUUACAGCGCUUGUGAAAAAAGCGCUGUAAUAGGUAGUUAAAUUCAAUGAAAGCGCAUGUGUUUUACAGCGCUUGUGAAAAAAGCGUUGUAAUAGGUAGUUAAAUUCAAUGAAAGCGCAUGUGUUUUACAGCGCUUGUGAAAAAAGCGCUGUAAUAGGUAGUUAAAUUCAAUGAAAGCGCAUGUAUUUUACAACGCUUGUGAAAAAAGCGAUGUAACUGAUACGCGAAAGCGCUUCCUUUUACAGCGCUUUUUUGACAAGCGCUGUAAAAGCCUUAUAACGUGAUGCGCAAACGUUAUAUGACCUACUACAACGCUUGUUUUACAGCGCUUUGAAUCAAAAGCGCUGUAAUAGGUUCCGUUAUUUUUAAAAUAUAAUUACAACAGCGCUUGUGUUUAGCAAGCACUGUAAAAUGGGCGCUGUUAAAUGUCAUUUUUGGCGUAGUGAAUAUAGCAAAGUGGAAGCAAAAGCAAGACAUCAAAAAAACCUUUAAAUACAUAAAGUUAGGAGAUUGUUUAUAUAACCUUUCGAAAUGGGUCUUAUUAUGUAAACAGGAGGUAGUUCACCUGUUAAUAAGAGAAACAACGUGAUUAAUAGCAAAAGACAAAAAAUUCUUUGGUAGUUUAGAGUGGAAAAUAAGUGAUCUAGUCACAUUAAGAAGAUGAGGAUGUUUCCUUUCAACAAUUAAGUUUUCUUGGGGUGUAUCAACACAAGAGGUUUGAUGCAAUAUGCUCAAACUAGAAUAAAAAAGAGGCAUAUUGAAUUCAAGACCAUUAUCAUUGCUGAUUUUCUAGACUUUUGUAUUGAAUUGUAUUUUAACAAAGGAAACAAAGUUUUGAAGGAGCAUAUGAGUUUCAGAUUUAGCAUUCAUUAAAAAUAACCAAGAAAAUCAUGAAUAAUCGUCAACAAUAGUUGGAUAAUAUUGAUGACCAUCAAAAGAAGGAACAUUAAUAGGUCCUCAAAUAUCAACAUGUAUAAGGCUAAAAAUAUGUAAAGAAACAUUUUCACUACGCGGAAAAGGGAUUUUAGCAUUUUAUGCCCAAAUAAAAAGAGUCACAAAUCAUAUUUUUAUUAACUGAAAUGUAAUAAAAUCGUUUACACAUUUGUUGUAACAGGGUUAUUGAUGGAUGACCUAACCUAAAAUGUCAAACAUCAAAUUUAUUUGGUAUAGUGGCAUUAACAAAGGUAGUAUAAUGGUGAUUAGAAACAGGAGCAAAUUCAGUAGAAAAAACCAUAGCAGAGAUAUAAUAUGAUCAAGAAUAUAAAGGCUAUUACAAUGCUCCACAUGUCCUAUCGUCUUAUGGGUAUGCAAAUCCUGAAUUGUAUAAAAAUUCUUAGAAAAUAAUAGUUUGUAAUCCAAAUCAAGAGUGAGUUUUGAAAUAGAUAUUAAACUAAAAUUGAAUUGAUGAAUAAACAACCUAUUUUUCAAGUAAAGAUCAGAAGUAAAGUAAAAAUGUCCUAAAAAAUGCGUAAGAAUAUACGACCCAUUUGGAAAAAUAAUAAAAAUUGGUUCAAUUUGUUUCAUUGAAUAAAAACAUUUGAUAAAUGGACAAACAUGAUCUGAAGCCCCCGAAUCCAUAAUCCAUAGAGAAAAAGGAUUAGAUACGAAACCUGUAUUAGAAAUACUUGAUACUACGUGAUUGGAUUAAUCUGAAAUAGAAUUCUUGGUUUCGAAAGAAGUUACAUCAACAUAUUUAGAAUUAUGUAGCAGAUUAAUCAAAAUAUUAUAAUAUGUUUUGCUAAGAUGAUUGUUGAUUGUUGGAAUCGUGUUGCUGUGUAGGCUAGGAGAGAGAAGGAUUCUUAGAACCAUUUAUUGAAGACGAAUUCAAAGAUUGUUAUUUACGAUAUCAUAGUGGAAAGCCAUGUUUGAAAUAACAUGUGUCUACAAUGUGAUUAUUCUUAUGACAUCGAGUAUAAAACAUGGAGGGCCGAGGCUGACCACGACGAUGAUGGUAUUGCCUGCGACCUUGACCUGAAUUUUUGGAAGUAUUGAUAUUAAAAACAACAUAAGUAUCAGGAGGAUUAUGGUUUGAAUUGGGGACAAGGUCUUAUUGAAAAACGAAAGAAUGCACCUUGUUAAUAUAAGGUAAAGGAUCCAUGAAUAAAAUCUGUGUGUGAAUGUUAUUGUAAUUUUUAUUCAAACCUUUAAGAAAACAAGUGAUAUACUCUUGAUGCUUGAAAUAAUGAACUGUUGUGUUGAGCUUGCAAGAACGAGGAAUAGGGCAUAUGCAUGAUUGUGUUGGGCACAAAUCCUCCAAUUCACCCCAAAGAAUCUUCACAUUGGUGAAAUAGGUAGACAAAGAAUGUUCACCUUGUUUGAUUGAAUGAAGAUCACGAAUUAGAUUGGAAAAUCGAAAAUUAUUUCCUUGAAUGAAACGAUCACGAAGAUCAUACCAUAACUCUAAUGCUGAAUCAAUGCAAAUGGAGAACGUUAAAAACUCAAUAUUGAUUUUGAUUGUGAAAACGGAGAACAUCCUUGGUUCUGGAAACAGAAAAUGGAGAACAUUCUAGGUUAAUUAAAAUCAAUAGUUUAGUUUAUAUGUUUAACUUGAUAAACAAAAGGAUUGAAAGUAAAUAGAGAUAAGAAGAUAGAUGUCACAUAAUGAUAUAUCUUAGUUCACCUAACUCAGGCUAUGUUCAGUGUAACACCCCGUUUUUCAAAGCGAGGGUAUUUUUUUUUUUUAAAAGUAAUUAAAAACGAACGAAGAAAUAAAUCAGGAAAUGCUUUUGGAUAAAUAAUUGAGUCAUUAUAAUUUACGCAGCGGAAAAGUUUCUCCAAUUAUAAAUCCAAAACAUUUUUACAUAAACAUCAAAUGGUACAUGGAACCCAUUCAAAGAUGAUAUCAAACUGAUAAUAUUUAUAUAAGUACAGUUUUCCAAAACUAAAAUACUCCAAACCAAAGAGAAGGACCCCUAGUCCCUAUACAUCAUCCUAAUCUGAUCAUCCUACCAAAAACUAUACACCCUGAGUAAUCUCCACGCGCCCCGUGAGAUCCUCCUAACACAACCGCAGUCAAGCAUUCCCAUCUCCAUCCCUGUCCGUAGGGUACGAACCAGUAGGGCCGUCCUGACUCUCAUCUGAGGGCAAAGCCCAGAUUUCCACAAUAGUGUAAAGGGUCACCAACCAGAAAAUAACAGAUAACACAUAGCAAUUAAGUUUUUGAAUGCUCAAAACAACUUUUCAACUAAGCAUGCACCUUAACAGGAUUUUCAAUGUGCGAAAAGUUCAUACAUUACAUUGCCAAUGAAAAUGAAGGUAAAAUGCAGUUCUCGAUCUCCUAAUUAACACAUGAUAAAACAAGACAUGGAUAGAUUCAUGAGCAAUAAAUCAUACAACUAAAACUGAGGAUUUUCACUGAGCCAAUCGAUUGGGCAAUCGAUUGGGGUGAAGAUUUUUAAUGAAAACAGAAUCCUGGGCUGAAUUCAAUCGAUUGGUAAAUCGAUUGAUUGGUUCCCACAACUUAACACUUAGCAAUUCCUACGCGAUUACUACGACACACGAAGGUUCGAUAACCAUCAUACUCACACACAAUACACAACACAUAGCACUUAACACCUUCAUCUCAGUUAUCACGAUAAAUCAAAAUUCGAAUCACUCAAUCAUAAACUCAAAUCAAACAUGACUCGCGUGCCAGGCACCCUAAUGCAAUGCGUAUAUGCCAAAAUGCAUGGACUCGGAAUUCCAAACCAAAACCCUCCUCGAAGGGCCGUAAAUCAUAAUUGUACCGCCUAUCGCAGGCCAAAGUACCAAUUACCGAGGUGCCACCUAUCACGGGUCAGCACGAUUUACUAAAAUGCGUAAAUCAUAAACGUACCACCUAUCACGGGUCAGUACAGUUACCAUGGUGUCACCUAUCACGGGUCAACUCGAUUUUCUAAAUAGUAACUCGUAAACGUACCACCUAUCACGGGUCAGUACAGUUUACCGAGGUGUCACCUAUCACGGGUCAACACGAUUUACUAAAAGAAAAAGCGGGAAUCGUAAACGUACCGCCUAUCACAGACCAGUACUGUUUACCUAGGUGCCACCUAUCACGGGUCAGCACAAUUCACCAAAAAUGUAAAUCGUAAAUGUACCACCUAUCACGGGUCAGUACAGUUACCAUGGUGUCACCUAUCACGGGUCAACACGAUUUACUAAAAGAAAAAGCGGGAAUCGUAAACGUACCGCCUAUCACAGACCAGUACUGUUUACCUAGGUGCCACCUAUCACGGGUCAGCACAAUUCACCAAAAAUGUAAAUCGUAAAUGUACCACCUAUCACGGGUCAGUACAGUUACCAUGGUGUCACCUAUCACGGGUCAACACGAUUUACUAAAAUGUAAAUCGCAAACGUACAACCUAUCACGGGUCCGUACAGUUUACCAAGGUGUCACCUAUCACGGGUCGACACAAUUUACCAAAUGAAAUGCAUGAGCAUACACAGACUCCAUUCACAACAAUCGUUAAGCAAAUGCAGAUAUUAAAAGAUUCCCCAUUUUUAAUACCCAUUUAACUUAAACGACUUUCAAACAACAUUAAUUAAAUAAGUCAUUAAGAGAUUCCCCGUUCUUAAUACCGAUUUAACUUAAUGAUUUUCAAAACAAAACGUUAAGCAAACAGUCAUAUUAAGAGAUUCCCCAUUCUUAAUACUCAUUUACCGAAACGAUUUUCAAAAACGAUAGUUAAGUAACCGAGACAUUAAGAGAUUCCCCAUUCUCAACGCCCAGUUAACUUAAACAUUUUCCUCAAAUACACAUUAAGUAAACCGAGGUAUUAAAAGAUUCCCCAUUUUUAAUACUCGUUUAACUCUAAUGGUUUUCAAAUUCCACAGAAACAAAUUCAAACAUACUUUCACAUUCAAACCAUAAUUCACAACAACCACACCAAUUAACAAACAUCAAGUACGAACACACCAAAUACAACGAACACAAAUCACGCAACAUAACACCCAGAUACAUCAAAUUUCAUUUACCCAUAAUCAUACACAAUGACAUUCAAAUUCAUUUACCACGAAACAUUCAUCACUAUAAACAAAACCUAACUCUAAGGUUUUUACCCAUAACGCACUAGUUUCGUUUUUCCCCAAAUCGAUACAUUUAACCCUAACAAAUUCCUUCCCACACAACUACAGAUAAGUCCCUAAUGCAAGCUAGAAGUUUGGAAGGAGCCCUUACCUCAACGUUAGCUUUAUCGUGCGUUUCCGGUACCGCGAGAAAUUCCGGUAAAAUCUCCGCUCGCAACGCCGCUUCCAAAUUAGUUCACUAGCACCGUAGCGUGGUGGUGAGCAACUUUCCCUUCUAUCUCUUCGAGAAAUGAGGUUUGGAUCUAGGAGAAACGGAGGGGUUUGUGUUUGGAUCUCAAAACCGUUUUUCUUCGUUUUCGAAUCAAAGAGGAAGAGUGGAGUUGCGAAAACCUUGAUCUAACUCACACCCGACCUUGGGUCACUAGCUUUGAAGAAAAGGAAGCAACGAAAACGAAAAAUGGAGAAGGAUGGAUUUUUGGUUUUUCACGUGAGAUGUUCAGAGGAAGGAGAUGGAAUUCGAGAUUUUCCUUCCUUUCUAUUUCUUUCCUUUGUUUUUCCUUUCUUCCUUUUUCCUUCCUUCCUUUAUAUACUAUUUUCUUUUCCUUUUCCUUCCUUCUAGUUUUCCUUUCUUUUUCCCCCCAAACAAACAUAUAUAAAUAUAAUAAAUAUAACUUAACAAAUAUCUCAAAAUCUAGAUAUUUAUUAAAUUACCGUUUCACCCGAAACGCCUUAAAUUCUUCGUAAAGGAUUUUCCGCAGUUAAAUUCAAUUUAUUUAUCGACGAGAAAUUCUAAUUGGCAUCGAAAUAUCUUUUUGAUUAGAAAACUCCAAAAUAUUAUUAACUUUGGCUUAAAAGCCUCCGAGCCAAAAUCCAAAAUAUACCAAAAAUACAUAAAAGGGUACUUUAAAAUUAUGGGUCUUACAUUCAGUCCUUACAAUUGUGAUAUUUUCCACAAAGCGUUCAAAUGGAGAAAAUUCUUGGUUUUACACAGUUUUGUUCAGAUUAACCUUGAUAUGUAACAACAAUUCAUUUCCACUUAGAAAUGAUUCAAUUAGGUCACUUAUCAAUCUUUAGAGAGGAUUUUACAAUUCACCUUUUAUCCAUAAAAAUGAUUUUCUACAAACUAUAAACAACUAUUAUAGUCUUGAGUUUACAAUAAUGAUUUAAAGAGAUUGGUAGAAUCUGAGUAUGUUCAAAUCGUGUUUGAGAAUACAUUCUUGAUAAAAGAAAUACAUAUAACGGUUCUGAUAUUUUAAAAAGAAAACAUAAUUGAAUCUUUUGUUUAUGAUUGAGAAGUUUUCAAGUAUAUAAGUGUAUGUAAGUGAUGGAUUUCUUAACACUUGAAGUUCUAUUUUUCCUUGAACUUGAGGUUCUUUUUAUAGGCUUCAAGGAGGAUGAUGACAACUACUUUGAUCUUUGGAAAAUAUCCAGCUGUCAUGUGUCAAAUUUGACAAAAUUCGAUAACUUUUAAACCAUGAAUGUUUCUUGACUAGCUUCUCAUUCUUGACCGUGAUUUAUGGUCCUUUAUGCUCAUAGACAUCUCAAAGAUGUGUUCAAUGUAUUCAGAUCGAGAAUGUCUUUGAUUCGAUCAAAACAAGCUAGAGAAGGAUGUACACAUGUUGGAGAUUGAUUGUAAAUAUGCUGGAAAAUGAUGUUAUUUGUAACAUCCCGCUUUUUCGAGACAUUAACUUACAAAAUUCUAAAUGUAAAAAUACAAAUUCAUUUUUAUUUAUUUAUGAUUAUCUUAAAUACCCAUUUACCUUAAUAUCAAUUAAUAAUAUUUUUAGUUAUAUUUUCAAAAAUAAUGAAUCAAAGUAUUUACAAUCACUAAAAGUAAAUUUAAUACGUUAAACAAAAGAAACUCAUAGAGCCAAAACUAUUGAUGUUUUACUACUCAAACAUAAAUCCUAGUUGGUAAUAAACUUUGGAGUUGUGGAAAACUCACCCAAUAAAUCUAACACCCCACAAAAGUACCUCAAAACCUCCAACUAUAUACUUCCUCGCAUUUCUCCUAUUAGGUUGACUAUAAGCUCAAGUAACACUAUAUGUGACGUCGUGUCAAAUGUAAGGGUCAUCUCUAAAAUAUUUUACCAAUAAAUAAAUAACAAUCAAAAUAAAACAGUACAUUACCUACUCAGCCAACAAAAAGGUACAAUAACAAUGAAAAUAUAACAGUACAAUGUUUACAUAAUUAAUAACAUUAAUUCACUCAAACGACCACCUACAGUGACGAUACGAAUAUAACAUUACGAUAUCUACAUAAUUAAUAACAUUAAUUCAUUCAUCCAAACGACUACGAGGUACAAUAACAAUAAAAAUAUAACAGUACGGUUAUAUUUUAUAAAAAUGAAGUGAUUAAUUUUAUAAAAAUGUCAUAGAUAAAUUAUUAGGAGUGCAACAAGACAAUCAAUAUCACCAAAUGAAUGUGUUAUUAUUUUAAUUUUCAAUGAAAAAUUAAUUGUUGUUUUUUAAGUUUAUUUUUUAAUUAAUAUAAUAUACCUUAUUCUUAAGUUACAAUGAGAAAAUAAUGUUACAAUGAGAAAAUAAUAUCUAAUGGUUGGGUGAUGAGUACUAAAUGACAAAAACUAAUUUUUUUGCCUAAAACAAACAUGACAAUUUUAGUGAUAAAAAUUAAUGUAGCGAGUUGAACAAAAUAAUAUGACAUGUAACAUUGUAAUCAAAAGGCAAGUUUAAGUGAAAGAUGGUUCAUCAUAUAUAAGUAGACCAUACUUUAUUUAACAUAGUAAGUGGGAAACAAAACAAUUCAUAGAUGCAUGUUUCUAGUUUUCAUGGAGAUUCCAUGUUUCCAUGUCCUCUUUUCCUACCUUUGUCUCCGUUAUCGGGGUUUCCUCGAUUGUCGUCUUCUUCAACGGGUGGCUCACUAUUGCCGUAUCCCAUGCCACCGCCACCAUAGUUGUAUGCCAUGCCCUGUACCCAUUCUGAUGCCCAACCCAAUGCCAAAUCUCUCAAAGUUCUCCAAUCUACAAACCUUCUUAUUAAAGUACUAUAUUCGGUUUCCUCAGCUGUCACAAUAGUCAUAAGAAGGGGAACACACAGAAAGAAUACUAAGAUAAAAAAUUUUGUUUUCAUCCUUGCUUAAAUUUCCUAAAGUUUGUUGUAAAAUAUGAAUAAUAUCCUCAAAUAUUUAUAGUGGUCACGCAUAGAAAAAAUAAGAUAAUUUUAAAAGACA